AUGCAUGUCUAAGUGCAAAUCCUUGUAUGGUGAAACCGCGAAUGGCUCAUUAAAUCAGUUAUGGUUCCUUAGAUCGUGUCCUACAUGGAUAACUGUGGAAAUUCUAGAGCUAAUACAUGCGACGAAGCUUCGACCUUCGGGGAGAAGCGCUUUUAUUAGACCAAAACCAAUCGGGUGGCUUCGGCUGUUCGUACUGGUGGUGACUCUGGAUAACUUUGUGCUGAUCGCAUGGCCAUGUGCCGGCGACGUAUCUUUCAAAUGUCUGCCCUAUCAACUGUAGAUGGUACGUGAUGUGCCUACCAUUGUGAUAACGGGUAACGGGGAAUCAGGGUUCGGUUCCGGAGAGGGAGCAUGAGAAAUGGCUACCACAUCCAAGGAAGGCAGCAGGCGCGCAAAUUACCCACUCCCGGCACGGGGAGGUAGUGACGAAAAAUAACAAUGCGGGACCCUACGGGUACCGUAAUUGGAAUGAGUACACUUUAAAUCCUUUAACGAGGAACAAUUGGAGGGCAAGUCUGGUGCCAGCAGCCGCGGUAAUUCCAGCUCCAAUAGCGUAUACUAGUUGCUGCGCUUAAAAAGCUCGUAGUUGGAUCUCGGGCUCGGGCUGGUGGUCCGCUAAGAAGCGGUACUGCCUGUCCUGACCUACUUGCCGGUUUGGCCGGAUGCUCUUCACUGAGUGCCCGGUUCAGGCCGGUACGUUUACUUUGAAGAAAAUAGAGUGUUCAAAGCAGGCCUAUGCCUGAAUAAUGCAGCAUGGAAUAAUGGAAUAGGACCUCGGUUCUAUUUUGUUGGUUUUCGGAACUCGAGGUAAUGAUUAAGAGGGACAGACGGGGGCAUUCGUAUUCCGCCGUUAGAGG
Molecule: ribosomal RNA, 857 nt
Filed under: Redudasys neotemperatus
Lineage: Eukaryota; Metazoa; Gastrotricha; Macrodasyida
Description: SSU rRNA
Rfam family: Eukaryotic small subunit ribosomal RNA
Source: RNAcentral